UUCGUCACGUGGGUGUCCCGUCGUUAUGGCGGCCGUUGGGAAGCCAGUGCUACUCGGGCUUCGAGACGCCGCAGUGCGCGGCCGCCCUAAGGGGCCCGGCGCCUGGACCGCGAGCAAGCUGGGCGGCGUUCCGGACGCCCUGCCCGCCGUGGCAGCGCCGAGGCCAGUGUGUGAACUUUGCCGGCAGCCGCUGGUGCUGGUCGUGCAGGUGUACUGCCCGCUGGAAGGCUCCCCGUUUCAUCGGCUUGUGCACGUGUUCGCUUGCCCCCGCCCCGGGUGCGGUAGCGGCGGGGCGCGCAGUUGGAAGGUGUUCCGCUCCCAGUGCCUGCAGAUGCGGGAGACAGAGACGCAGGACGCUCAGAAAGAGGAAAAUGGCCUCACAGCUGAGAACUGGUGUGAAGGUGCAGAUGACUGGGGAAGUGACAGUGAGGAGGCACCUUCAUCGCAGCUUACCUUGGAUUUUGGAAAUGAUUCCAGCAGCGCCAAAGAGAAAGACUGGACUGCUCAGCUCCAAGACCUCUGCCUGCAGGAUGCUGUCCGCGGUGCUGCUCCUCCUGUGCCCCCUGGGGAAGGGGUGGCCUUGCCUCCUGGGCUGCCGCAGUUCCCGCCCUACUACAUCUGUGUGGUAGAUGAGGAUGAUUACAGGGACUCUUUCAGUCUGGAUCAUGCUCACAGCCUUCUGAGGGACUAUCAGCAGAGGGAAGGAAUUGAUAUGAAACAGUUGCUUUCCCCAAGUCUUUCUGGUGAUGGUGAUGAAAAAUACGAGAAGACCGUAAUUAAAAGUGGAGAUAAGGUGUUUUACAAAUUCAUGAAGAGAAUUGCUGUUUGUCAGGAGCAGAUUUUGAGGUAUUCCUGGAGUGGAGAACCACUUUUUUUGACCUGCCCUACAUCAGAAGUCACUGAGCCCCCAGCCUGUAGCCACUGUGGCGUCCGAAGGAUAUUUGAGUUUCAGCUUAUGCCAGCACUGGUCAGCAUGCUUAGAAGUGCUAAUUUAGAGUUUUUUAAAGAAAAAUAAAAAGUUUUUAUAAGAAAAGUAAUACGUGUUGUGGUGUAAGAUUCAAGGAGUACAGAAGUAUAUGCAGUGAGAAGUAAAGGCCUUCCCAAUGUCAUUUACUAGAGGGAACUUUUUUUUUCCAUGGCCUUUCUGUGGAAUUUGGAACCAUUCUAAUAUACACAUGUGAGAAGAGUUGCUGGCCUCAAAAUCAUCAGACUCCCAUGGAAGAAUUUUGUAUCAUACAAGAAGAUCCAGAUGAAUUAUUAUUUAAGUAGCGUAUUUCCUUUUAUUUAUAGAAAUUAAAACACAUUUUAAUGUUUAAA
This is an RNA transcript of Camelus dromedarius (Arabian camel), 1317 nucleotides long. It is a transcript of the gene named programmed cell death 2 like, with no coding region annotated. Lineage: Eukaryota; Metazoa; Chordata; Mammalia; Artiodactyla; Camelidae. The transcript has 8 exons. The record is from RefSeq and is a predicted model, not a curated record.